CUCUAACACUUUCAAUGAGGGGACAUAUAUGUUUUAAGAAUAUUGUGUAAUAUACAGGCCUCAAUUUGCAAAUAUUUCUCUUUUUAGUGAUUAAUAUAUUUUUGCAAUUCUUUAUCCCUUGGGUUUGCUUCUGAUUAGCUAGUUGGUGAGGCAAUAGCUUAUCAAGGCAAUGAUCAGUAGCUGGUUCGAGAGGAUGAUCAACCACACUGGGACUGAGACACGGCCCAGACUCCUACGGAAAGCAGGAGUGGGAAGUUUUCUGCAAUGGGCGAAAACCUGACGGAG
RNAcentral lists this ribosomal RNA (285 nucleotides) under Olea europaea subsp. europaea. Its description in RNAcentral is "SSU_rRNA_microsporidia". It matches the Rfam family "Bacterial small subunit ribosomal RNA", at positions 47 to 391 of the family's 1533-position model. The record is from RNAcentral. Lineage: Eukaryota; Viridiplantae; Streptophyta; Magnoliopsida; Lamiales; Oleaceae.